AUUAUCAUACUUCAUAGGAUCACUUUCAUAGUAUGAUUGCCAAGUUCCCUGACCGAAACUUGGUGUAACCUCUUGCCACGCUGAGGCUGUGUCCAUCCCUGAGUGAGAAACUGCCACUUGGAUGAUCCAGGGGUUUUAGGACUGUCCACACCUAGUAAUGGGUAUGGUAGGUUGGGUACAGACUGAGUGAA
Small nucleolar RNA from Portunus trituberculatus (swimming crab), 191 nucleotides. RefSeq annotates it as small nucleolar RNA U3. The record is from RefSeq and is a predicted model, not a curated record. The transcript has a single exon. NCBI's taxonomy places the organism in Eukaryota, Metazoa, Arthropoda, Malacostraca, Decapoda, Portunidae.